This 28-nucleotide non-coding RNA is filed under the name Rattus norvegicus (Norway rat). Lineage: Eukaryota; Metazoa; Chordata; Mammalia; Rodentia; Muridae. The record is from RNAcentral.
UGCCAUGCCGUGAAUAUUUAACCAUAGG